GCGCAUCUCCGAUGGGGUGCGGGCGCGCCCUGCUCCGGCCGAGGCUGUGCAGCGGGCGCGCCCGUUCCCCGUCCAACACUUCACAAACCCACUGUGAACCUUCACGGCGGAGGGGGCUCGGUCUGUGCCUGAGCCUCCGAGGCCGCAUGCCAAACUCCAGUUGCAAAGAAUGUAUUGCGGACACUGUGCCGCCUAAACACACUUAA
This 206-nucleotide unclassified non-coding RNA is filed under the name uncultured Trechisporales. RNAcentral describes it as "sequence contains ITS1". The record is from RNAcentral. Lineage: Eukaryota; Fungi; Basidiomycota; Agaricomycetes; Trechisporales.